Molecule: ribosomal RNA, 253 nt
Filed under: uncultured bacterium
Lineage: Bacteria
Description: partial 16S ribosomal RNA
Rfam family: Bacterial small subunit ribosomal RNA
Source: RNAcentral
UACAGGGGGGGCAAGCGUUGUUCGGAAUUACUGGGCGUAAAGGGUUCGUAGGUGGCCACUUAAGUCAGACGUGAAAUCCCUCAGCUUAACUGGGGAACUGCGUCUGAUACUGAGUGGCUUGAGUGCAGGAGAGGGAUGCGGAAUUCCACGUGUAGCAGUGAAAUGCGUAGAGAUGUGGAGGAACACCGAUGGCGAAGGCAGCCCCCUGGGCUAACACUGACGCUCAUGCACGAAAGCGUGGGGAUCAAACAGG